This 227-nucleotide ribosomal RNA is filed under the name uncultured bacterium. RNAcentral describes it as "partial 16S ribosomal RNA". It matches the Rfam family "Bacterial small subunit ribosomal RNA", at positions 585 to 810 of the family's 1533-position model. The record is from RNAcentral.
AAGUCAGAUGUGAAAGCCUUCUGUUUAACGGAAGAAUUGCAUCUGAAACUGCGAGUCUUGAGUGUAGGAGGGGAGAAUGGAACUUCUGGUGGAGCGGUGAAAUGCGUAGAUAUCAGAAGGAACGCCGGCGGCGAAAGCAAUUCUCUGGCCUAUUACUGACACUCAGUGUGCGAACGUAGGGGGAGCAAACGGGAUUAGAUACCCUGGUAGUCCAUGCCGUAAACGUU